RNAcentral lists this ribosomal RNA (269 nucleotides) under uncultured prokaryote. Its description in RNAcentral is "partial 16S ribosomal RNA". It matches the Rfam family "Bacterial small subunit ribosomal RNA", at positions 524 to 792 of the family's 1533-position model. The record is from RNAcentral.
UACGGAGGAUCCGAGCGUUAUCUGGAUUUAUUGGGUUUAAAGGGUGCGCAGGCGGGGGAUUAAGUCGGCGGUGAAAUUUUGCAGCUCAACUGUAAAAGUGCCUUCGAAACUGGUUUCCUUGAGUGUAGAUGAAGUAGGCGGAAUUUGUGGUGUAGCGGUGAAAUGCAUAGAUAUCACGAGGAACUCCGAUUGCGCAGGCAGCUUACUAAACUACUACUGACGCUCAGGCACGAAGGCGUGGGGAUCAAACAGGAUUAGAUACCCUGGUA